Molecule: long non-coding RNA, 336 nt
Organism: Ipomoea nil (Japanese morning glory)
Lineage: Eukaryota; Viridiplantae; Streptophyta; Magnoliopsida; Solanales; Convolvulaceae
Exons: 2
Source: RefSeq, a predicted model, not a curated record
AGUCCCCCCUACUCCUGAGGUAACGGAUAUGAUUGAGUUGACUUGGGAGUAAAGCCGAAUUUGCUUGAUAUCGUGCGGAAUCCCGAUUGAUCCCGAGUGACAGCUCGUUGGCCAUAAUGAACAGAGGUGCCAAGAAGUUUUUUGGGUAUAUUUUUGUGUUGUAAAGAACUCUCUGUAAUAUGUAGUGUUUGCUAUGAUGUCAAAUUGUAUUUCAAGAAGUGUUUAUAUACUUGUCUCUAGAAGUCUUCAACUUAUAUGCUAUUUAAUGCUGUUGUUUCUAGAACCAAAAAGACUUAUCAUUCAUCAGUGUAAUAAAUGUCUAACUAUUGAGUGGCU